RNAcentral lists this ribosomal RNA (428 nucleotides) under uncultured bacterium. Its description in RNAcentral is "partial 16S ribosomal RNA". It matches the Rfam family "Bacterial small subunit ribosomal RNA", at positions 354 to 796 of the family's 1533-position model. The record is from RNAcentral.
GUGGGGAAUAUUGGGCAAUGGGCGCAAGCCUGACCCAGCAACGCCGCGUGAAGGAAGAAGGCUUUCGGGUUGUAAACUUCUUUUACCAGGGACGAAACAAAUGACGGUACCUGGUGAAUAAGCCACGGCUAACUACGUGCCAGCAGCCGCGGUAAUACGUAGGUGGCGAGCGUUAUCCGGAUUUAUUGGGUGUAAAGGGCGUGUAGGCGGGAAAGCAAGUCAGAUGUGAAAACCAGAGGCUCAACCUCUGGCCUGCAUUUGAAACUGUUGUUCUUGAGUGUCGGAGAGGUAAUCGGAAUUCCGUGUGUAGCGGUGAAAUGCGUAGAUAUACGGAGGAACACCAGUGGCGAAGGCGGCUUACUGGACUGUAACUGACGCUGAGGCGCGAAAGUGUGGGGAGCAAACAGGAUUAGAAACCCUAGUAGUCC